AAUGAACGCUGGCGGCGCGCCUAACACAUGCAAGUCGAACGAGAAAUCUCGAGCUUGCUCGAGAGAGUAAAGUGGCGCACGGGUGAGUAACGCGUGGGUAACCUGUCCUUAAGUCUGGGAUAAUCCACCGAAAGGUGGCCUAAUACCGGAUACUGUCCCGAGAACCACGGUUCUAGGGAUGAAAGCUGACCUCUUCGUGAAAGUUGGCGCUUGAGGAGGGGCUCGCGUGCCAUUAGCUUGUUGGUAGGGUAAUGGCCUACCAAGGCUACGAUGGUUAGCUGGUCUGAGAAGACAACCAGCCACACUGGAACUGAGACACGGUCCAGACUCCUACGGGAGGCAGCAGUGGGGANUCUUGCGCANUGGGGGAACCCUGACGCAGCGACGCCGCGUGAGUGAAGAAGGCUUUCGGGUCGUAAAGCUCUGUCAAGUGGGAAUAAGUCCCGCGUUGAAUAGACGCGGGAUCUGAAGGUACCAUUNGAGGAAGCACCGGCUAACUCCGUNCCAGCAGCCGCGGUAAUACGGAGGGUGCAAGCGUUGUUCGGAACUACUGGGCGUAAAGAGCGCGUAGGCGGCCGGAUCAGUCAGAUGUGAAAGCCCUGGGCUCAACCCAGGAAGUGCAUUUGAAACUGUCCGGCUUGAGUACGGUAGAGGGAGGUGGAAUUCUCAGUGUAGAGGUGAAAUUCGUAGAUAUUGAGAGGAACACCCGUGGCGAAGGCGGCCUCCUGGACCGAGACUGACGCUGAGGCGCGAAAGCGUGGGGAGCAAACAGGAUUAGAUACCCUGGUAGUCCACGCCGUAAACGAUGAGUACUAGGUGUAGGGGGUACUGACCCCUCCUGU
RNAcentral lists this ribosomal RNA (842 nucleotides) under uncultured delta proteobacterium. RNAcentral describes it as "bacterial SSU rRNA". It matches the Rfam family "Bacterial small subunit ribosomal RNA", at positions 28 to 844 of the family's 1533-position model. The record is from RNAcentral. Lineage: Bacteria; Deltaproteobacteria.